RNAcentral lists this long non-coding RNA (1321 nucleotides) under Nicotiana tabacum (common tobacco). RNAcentral describes it as "long non-coding RNA (NTAB_LNC000612)". The record is from RNAcentral. Lineage: Eukaryota; Viridiplantae; Streptophyta; Magnoliopsida; Solanales; Solanaceae.
GCCUCCACCACCUGUUUACUUGCCACCACCUCCGGUUUACUCACCUCCUCCACCGAUUUAUUCCCCACCUCCACCGAUUUACUCGCCUCCACCACCGGUGUAUUCGCCUCCACCACCGGUGUAUUCACCUCCUCCACCUAUUUAUUCGCCGCCGCCGCCACCACCGGUGUAUUCACCACCGCCACCACCACCUGUUUAUUCACCUCCUCCACCAGUUUUCUCUCCACCGCCACCAUCACCUCCUCCACCAGUUAUGUCACCACCACCGCCGACUCCAUUACCAACGCCACCUUAUUGUGUACGCUCACCGCCACCUCCACCAAAUUCUCCACCUCCUCCGCCUCCACUUACUUACUCCCCUCCAUCCCCUCCCCCUUCCCCCUACUAUUACAAUUCACCACCACCUCCCCCGCCAAACUCACCGUCACCUCCACCACCACCACCGGUUUACAUAUACUCAUCACCACCGCCCCCAUACUCUUCAACCCCGCCUCCUCAUUCACCUCCUCCAUCCCCGGUUCCUUGUAUAGAACCCCCACCCCCACCUCCUCCUUGUAUAGAACCACCUCCAUCACCUCCCCCACCAGUUUAUUACUAUAAUUCUCCGCCUCCACCACCGCCUUCACCAUCACCUCCCCCACCGGUGUAUUAUAGUUCUCCGCCCCCACCAUCACCAUCACCUCCGCCACCGGCACUGCCCCCACCAUCACCUCCACCACCAGUUUAUUAUUAUAAUUCACCACCCCCGCCGUCUCCUUCACCCCCUCCUCCCGUCUACUAUCAUUCCCCACCCCCGCCAUCUCCAUCACCCCCACCCCCAUCAUCGUCACCACCACCACCUACUCCAGUAUAUGAAGGGCCAUUACCACCAGUUAUAGGAGUUUCAUAUGCUUCUCCUCCUCCACCCCCCUUCUAUUGAUUCUUUAAGAAAAUUUCUCUCUAACUCUAUCCUUAAAACACAAAAUUAUACCUACAGUAGAUUGAAGUUGUGGAGAAUAAAUUUGGCAAAGAAAAGAUUGCAACUUUGCAGGGAAAUUGUAUUGUAUAGAGACGAUCAUAAUCUGGACUAGAAAAGCCAGUUUACAGUGCUUGUUGUAACUGGUUUCCCCUUUUUUUUUGGUGAGUUUUAUUGUUAUUAUCCAGCUUCUUUUUUUUCUUUUAACCUUUUAAUGAAUCAUACUUUGGUUUCUUUGUCUUUUUUUUGGUCUUCCAUAAUAAUAAUAGUAUAGUGAUGAGCAUUUUUUAUUUGUAUUGAUUCUCAGAAUUCAGAUCAGUCCCUUUCUAUUUUUAAUGGGUGUUCUUCAUUAUGUUUCUUUCUCCU